UGUGGUGUAGCUCAGUGUUCGAGCACUUGCCUUGCAUGCAAGAGGCUCAAGUUCAAACCACAGCAUAG
Ictidomys tridecemlineatus (thirteen-lined ground squirrel) is the source of this 68-nucleotide non-coding RNA. The record is from Rfam. NCBI's taxonomy places the organism in Eukaryota, Metazoa, Chordata, Mammalia, Rodentia, Sciuridae.